Molecule: long non-coding RNA, 3608 nt
Filed under: Mytilus galloprovincialis (Mediterranean mussel)
Lineage: Eukaryota; Metazoa; Mollusca; Bivalvia; Mytilida; Mytilidae
Source: RNAcentral
AAAGAAUGGCAUUGACGUGAACCUUGAAUUGGUACUGAUAUUGCAUAUAGAAAACUGUAAAAUCAAAAAUACUAAAUACAUAAAAUACGACAAGGGUGUAAGGUCUGUGAUUUGUUCCGUUGAGGUACACAUGUGUUUGAAAAAUAAUUUUGCGUUAUCUAAAUUGUCAGAUCUGCGUUAGAAAUAUGUUGAAUGUUUCUAGUAUAGUGUCUGACGAGUUCCCUUAUUUGCUUCAGUUUUUCUGCAUUACACCUGGUACAAUUUUUUUUUGAAAAACUAGGUGGACAUACAAUUACAAAUAGUAACACUUAAUAGCUGAAAGAAGUUUUUUUUACACCAUGUAAUGCUGCUAACAUCAGUAAUAAUUAUGUGCACGUAACAUGAUUUUCAUCUUAACAGCAACCCUUCUUUCGCCUCUUCCAUAUUUGUACAUUGAUGAAAAUAUUUUAUUUUUAGAUAUUGAAAAUUUUCAGACAAAGGUUCCAAAUCGUAAAAAAUAGAACUGUGUCAUAAUUGAAUGGAGGAAUCCAAUAUACCACAGGUAAGUUAUAAAAGAAUUAACCGUUAUAGAUAUGCAAUUUCCUAGAUAUUAAUACAUGCAUUUUCAGAAAUUGAAAAAAAGAAAUACCUCUAACAAAGUGGUUGUUAAAGUUGAUGCAAGGAAUGUUAACGGUCCAAUCAAAUACCGUAGUUUAUAUAUAUCUUCCAGAUAGUACGACCCGACUAUAAAAGCUUACUACAGAUAGAUCUGCGUCGCACUGUGCUAUUUGACACGCUUACGUUCUAACCAAGCAUACAGAAAUCUCUCACUACUUUUUCAACCACAAAACAGAAUCAGGUAUGUACGUACUAUUGAAUAUAUUUGUAUUAUUCAUUUACACAAUAAGCUCGUCUUUAAAAAUAUAUUAUAUACCUAAAAGGUUUGUUCUCUGUAGAUGAGCUAUACAAUAUUCUAAGACCAAAGUUUUCUUUAAAUUGUAAGUUCAAAUAAUUUUACUGAUAAACCUGAAAUUUCUGGCAUAUACUGUUAUUACAUCAGUUCAAUGGUCAGAAACUAAUUAGUGAUCUCUUAAAAAGUAUAAGAAUUGGACUGAGAAAUUUUCAAAACUAAAUAAAAUUAAGUAAAGUUGGUAUGAUUGUAAAUGAAACAGAUUCAUUCACCCAGAGUUUGAAUGAAUUAGAUAUAAGAAAUUAUAGGUCUUUAUACCGAACGAAAAAAAUCAAGUGUAUUAUCAUAAUAAAUCUGGGACAUUUAAAAUACGAAACUGAAUACAUAAGAAUGUAAUAAACAGCAGAAUUUUCAGAAAAUGCACCAUGUCUAAUGAAAUAUAUGCGAUCGAUAAACGUAGUAAGUGCGUUAAAAUAAUGUGUUAUUGCAUUCUUUGUACAAAUUAUAAAUACAUGUUUUCAUAAUACCAGCAAUAUUUAAUACACAGUAAAACAAUAAGAAAACCAAUGUCUACUUUGCAUAUUUUCAAAUUGAUUGUUUGGUUUAUUUGUAGUAAAAUAAAACAUUAUUUAAACUAUGAAAUAAAUGCAUUUAAUGCAGUCCAUUGGAUUGCAUUGAUUCUUAUUAAUAUUAUGAAAUUUCAAUUGAUGCUUUAAAUAAAUGUAAUAAUUAAUUAUAUAAAGCAUAACAUUGAAUUUUCUGUUUUUUGCUUAUUUGAAAAUUCUGGAUACCAUUGCCUACUUAUCUCUUAUCUAAAACCGUAUUUAUUUUUUACAGUAGAAACAUGUCUGGAAGAGGUCAAGGCCAAGCUAGUAACGAUAACAAGUCUGCCCAGUGUAAUCCAACCAGCACUAAAUAUGAAGGACAUCAGCCUGGUUAUACUGGAACCGGGACUAAGCCAGACCUGGACAACCACUCCAACCAAUUGAAUCCAAACAAUCAGGAAUAUAAGGGAUCGAAAUAACAAUGAUAUUUUCACGAAUCGGGUUAUAUAAACCUGUGCGAGACAUUUACUGUUUCAGCAAUUUGAUAAAUUAAAAUGUUUUAAAUUAAACUUUCCUACCUGAUUUCGUGUGUAAAACACUGCUUUGCCAACGUGGUGUUGUAACGUUAGUUCUUUCUGUCCAAGGUGUACUUUAGUCUAUACUGUUUGAUUGUAUUUUAGAUUUCGUCUACUUUUAAAGUUGUUUUUAGUGUUUGAAUGAAUGUUUAAUUAGUUAAAACUUCAAACUUAUUUUCAGCCAUUUUCAUUUGCAGUAAAAUGUAAUUACUAUUUUGAGAAUACAAAGUUUUUAUUCUAUUUGUGUCAACAGAUUCUAUGCUUUAUAUUUUUGAUAGUGUUUUUUAACCAUAUUGCAAAAUGUAAAGUCGAAUAUAUUUGACACAGACUGUCCAUAUCGAUGCUGUUUGUCUUAAUUUAACUAUUUUUUUCUUAAAUUUGUUUGCAAGCAUGAUCAUCAUAGUGAGAAGUCAUUGACAAAGACCAUGAUUAUACUCGUAUUUGUCCAAGAAAGAACAUAACAGACAGCAGCAACUGUCUAGACUAAAAAUAUGUCAAAGCUGGUAAACAAGAAAAAAUAAUGCGUUUAAUAAUGCGUAAAUGCUGCUAAUAAACUAAGACAUAAACAAGUAAAAAAAAAGAGGCAACAGUUGUUUCCGAUAUUUAAAUCUCAUCAAUUAUUCAAAUAAAUAAAUAUGAUUCGGUGAUUAUCUAAAAAUGCGGAAGGAAGAAGCUGAAUGUUUCAUGUACUAAUAUGACGAGUUUCCCUUUAUUCAUAAUUUUUGCAUGACACAUAGUAAUAGACCAUCUAGAAAAGGAACUUCUAUUAUAUUGAUGUUGGUGCAAAAUUCUAACGAAAAACAAAUUUAAAAAUCUGUGAUUAAUAACAAUUAUUUUUGACUGCGUAAGAAUACAACGAAGAAAUUGAGACGAGACUUUGCCAUUUUAUCAUCUUAUGUAGUGAAUUUAUAUAUAAAAUAAAAAAAAACCCGCUUGCGAUUUUUGUCAUUGACAAUACUAGUUUCGACUUUUAUUGAUACAAAUUUAAAACAUUUUCAGACAAAUGUUCCAAAAGAAGUUUGCCAUUUUACCAAGGUUGAUUUCAAUAGAGUAUAGAUAAGUUAUGGAUACGAUUAGUCAACAUCGAAUGUAACUUUCUAGACAUUAAUACAUGCAAUGCCAAGCAAGUAACGACAACAAGUCUGCCCUGUGUAAUCCAACCAGCAUUAAAUUUGAAGGACAUCAGUCUGGUUACUGGAACGGGUCAAAAUAACAAUGAAUGUAACAGCACGUAUAAGCUUAUAUAAAACUGUGCGCGACAUCAAUAGUUUGAGCAAUAUGAUACAUUCAACUAUUUUUAAUCAAUCUUAUCUGCUUGAUUUUGUGUGUAAAACAUUAUAGUCACGAUAACUUAGUGUAGCCUUACAAUACGUAAAAUUGAGAAUGGAAAUGGGGAAUGUGCCAAAGAGACAACAACCCGACCAUAGAAAAAAACAACAGCAGAAGGUCACCAACAGGUCUUCAAUGUAGCGAGAAAUUUCGUCAGUAAAUACCACUGCCUGUUUACUUGUUAUUUAACUGCCUAAGUCUUACUAUAUUCUACACUUACGUAUAAAUAAAUAAAUAAAUAAAUAAUCUUUAUUUCAAGAGGAUGAUCCC